UAUUAUUCCUGUAGUUGAAAUACAACGGUGGUUCUUCGUGUCGCUGGUCAUGGGUGUAGCCAUGUAGGAAUA
RNAcentral lists this transfer RNA (72 nucleotides) under Desmodus rotundus (common vampire bat). Its description in RNAcentral is "tRNA-Glu". The record is from RNAcentral. Lineage: Eukaryota; Metazoa; Chordata; Mammalia; Chiroptera; Phyllostomidae.